This 89-nucleotide transfer RNA is filed under the name Catenulispora acidiphila DSM 44928. RNAcentral describes it as "tRNA-Leu (GAG) (tRNA-Leu-GAG-1-1)". It matches the Rfam family "tRNA". From Rfam's summary of the family: Transfer RNA (tRNA) molecules are approximately 80 nucleotides in length. Their secondary structure includes four short double-helical elements and three loops (D, anti-codon, and T loops). Lineage: Bacteria; Bacillati; Actinomycetota; Actinomycetes; Catenulisporales; Catenulisporaceae. The record is from RNAcentral.
GCACUCGUGCUGCAACUGGUUGACAGCCCGGUCUGAGAAGCCGGGGCCCGGCGACGGGCAUAAGGGUUCGAAUCCCUUCGAGUGCACCA